CCAUGCCGCGUGCAGGAAGACGGCCCUACGGGUUGUAAACUGCUUUUAUACGGGAAGAAUAAGGGGUACGUGUACCCUGAUGACGGUACCGUAAGAAUAAGGACCGGCUAACUCCGUGCCAGCAGCCGCGGUAAUACGGAGGGUCCGAGCGUUAUCCGGAAUUAUUGGGUUUAAAGGGUCCGCAGGCGGGCCGGUAAGUCAGAGGUGAAAGUUUGCGGCUCAACCGUAAAAUUGCCUUUGAUACUGCUGGUCUUGAGUUGCGGUGAAGUGGCUGGAAUAUGUGGUGUAGCGGUGAAAUGCAUAGAUAUCACAUAGAACACCGAUUGCGAAGGCAGGUCACUAACCGCGGACUGACGCUGAUGGACGAAAGCGUGGGGAGCGAACGGGAUUAGAUACCCCGGUAGUCCACGCCGUAAACGAUGGACACUAGCUGUCAGGGAGCUUGCUCUUUGGUGGCCCAGCGAAAGUGAUAAGUGUCCCACCUGGGGAGUACGUCGGCAACGAUGAAACUCAAAGGAAUUGACGGGGGCCCGCACAAGCGGUGGAGCGUGUGGUUUAAUCCGAUGAUACGCGAGGAACCUUACCAGGGCUUAAAUGUGGAGUGACAGGGGCAGAGACGCCUUUUUCUUCGGACACUCCACAAGGUGCUGCAUGGUUGUCGUCAGCUCGUGCCGUGAGGUGUCAGGUUAAGUCCUAUAACGAGCGCAACCCCUACCGUUAGUUGCCAGCAUGUAAAGAUGGGGACUCUAGCGGAACUGCCGGUGCAAACCGAGAGGAAGGUGGGGAUGACGUCAAAUCAUCACGGCCCUUACGCCCUGGGCUACACACGUGCUACAAUGGCCGGUACAAUGAGCAGCCACUACGCGAGUAGGAGCGAAUCUAUAAAACCGGUCACAGUUCGGAUCGAGGUCUGCAACCCGACCUCGUGAAGCUGGAAUCGCUAGUA
RNAcentral lists this ribosomal RNA (946 nucleotides) under uncultured Bacteroidota bacterium. Its description in RNAcentral is "bacterial SSU rRNA". It matches the Rfam family "Bacterial small subunit ribosomal RNA", at positions 392 to 1340 of the family's 1533-position model. Lineage: Bacteria; Pseudomonadati; Bacteroidota. The record is from RNAcentral.